Phascolarctos cinereus (koala) is the source of this 612-nucleotide long non-coding RNA. RefSeq lists it as uncharacterized. NCBI's taxonomy places the organism in Eukaryota, Metazoa, Chordata, Mammalia, Diprotodontia, Phascolarctidae. The record is from RefSeq and is a predicted model, not a curated record.
CACCAGGGUCCAGGCGUUAGGACCGGUGAAGGGGGGUGGGGGCGGGGUUGCCAGGUGCGGAGCUCCUGCCUCAUAAAGGUGGGUCUCGACGUCACAGGGAGGCAGACAUCAUCGCGGGGUUGGUCUCGCCCAGGCUCAGUUCUGUUCAGCUCACGACUCCUUCAGUACCCCACUCCGAGGGCUGGGAGUGAAUAUCUGGAGUUCGAGACAUGCCAGGGGUCCAGACCAACGUCCCGCGGAGAUUCAGACGCCGGAAGAGGGGCCGAAAGCGGUCACGAAUCAUCUUACCCGAGAACCCUGGACCCGCGCCCAAGGUAUGUCGGGUUUUGUCACCUCAAAGGACAAGGGUUGUUCCUGAACCUUCAGAAACGAGCCUCACGGACAUCACUAAGAUUGUAUCUCUGCUGCAAAUAUCAUGAAGACAAAGAGCAUGAGGCCAGAAGUAAAACCAAUUGUCCAUAAAAAUGAUGCCACAUGUACAUGAUAACACCUUUGCCAGGAACUCUACAACAGCUUCAGUGAUGGAAGGUUAAACCAGCUACCUAUUAUUGAAAAGACUGGAAGCAUAAAUCUAAAACACUGUGGCAUGCAUUAAAACUCACUCCAACCUGA